GGGUUUCGGCACAGCAGCCAUUUUUCAGCAGCCCGCGACAUAACAAAAAAAGAAAAAAAAACUUAAGGAUGACAUUUGUUGACAUGGGCCACAAGAUUAGUUAAAAAAGGUGGGCAGAGUGAGAAGGGAGGUUGUCAGAAAACUGGUGCUAUUACUACUAAUAAAUUUGUUUAUAUACUGUUGAACUUUUCUCUAUAUUUGAAGAUACAAAUAAACCGUUUAUGAUUAAAAGA
This is a long non-coding RNA of Hippocampus comes (tiger tail seahorse), 233 nucleotides long. RefSeq lists it as uncharacterized. Lineage: Eukaryota; Metazoa; Chordata; Actinopteri; Syngnathiformes; Syngnathidae. The record is from RefSeq and is a predicted model, not a curated record. The transcript has 2 exons.